CCCUGUGGCUCAGUUGGUAGAGCAUGGUGUUUGCAACGCCAGCAUGGUGUGUGCAACGCCAGGGUUGUGGGUUCGAUUCCCACUGGGG
This 88-nucleotide transfer RNA is filed under the name Salmo salar (Atlantic salmon). It matches the Rfam family "tRNA". From Rfam's summary of the family: Transfer RNA (tRNA) molecules are approximately 80 nucleotides in length. Their secondary structure includes four short double-helical elements and three loops (D, anti-codon, and T loops). RNAcentral also lists the same sequence under 1 other name. The record is from Rfam by way of RNAcentral. Lineage: Eukaryota; Metazoa; Chordata; Actinopteri; Salmoniformes; Salmonidae.